This 439-nucleotide ribosomal RNA is filed under the name uncultured bacterium. RNAcentral's name for it is "partial 16S ribosomal RNA". It matches the Rfam family "Bacterial small subunit ribosomal RNA", at positions 339 to 795 of the family's 1533-position model. The record is from RNAcentral.
CUACGGGUGGCUCCAGUGGGGAAUAUUGCACAAUGGAGGAAACUCUGAUGCAGCAACGCCGCGUGGAGGAUGACGCUCUUCGGAGCGUAAACUCCUUUUAUAUAGGAAGAAGAUGACGGUACUAUAUGAAUAAGCGCCGGCUAACUCCGUGCCAGCAGCCGCGGUAAUACGGAGGGCGCAAGCGUUACUCGGAAUCACUGGGCGUAAAGAGCGUGUAGGCGGAUUAAAAAGUCAGAAGUGAAAUCCUAUAGCUUAACUAUAGAACUGCUUCUGAAACUCUUAAUCUAGAAUAUGGGAGAGGUAGAUGGAAUUUCUGGUGUAGGGGUAAAAUCCGUAGAGAUCAGAAGGAAUACCGAUUGCGAAGGCGAUCCACUAGAACAUUAUUGACGCUGAGACGCGAAAGCGUGGGGAGCAAACAGGAUUAGAUACCCUAGUAGUC